AACGAACGCUGGCGGCAGGCCUAACACAUGCAAGUCGAGCGCCCUUUCGGGGGAGCGGCGGACGGGUGAGUAACGCGUGGGAAUAUGCCCUUCUCUAAGGAAUAGCCUCGGGAAACUGAGAGUAAUACCGUAUACGCCCUGUGGGGGAAAGAUUUAUCGGGGAAGGAUUAGCCCGCGUUGGAUUAGGUAGUUGGUGGGGUAAUGGCCUACCAAGCCGACGAUCCAUAGCUGGUUUGAGAGGAUGAUCAGCCACACUGGGACUGAGACACGGCCCAGACUCCUACGGGAGGCAGCAGUGGGGAAUCUUAGACAAUGGGGGCAACCCUGAUCUAGCCAUGCCGCGUGAGUGAUGAAGGCCUUAGGGUUGUAAAGCUCUUUCAGCUGGGAAGAUAAUGACGGUACCAGCAGAAGAAGCCCCGGCUAACUCCGUG
This 431-nucleotide ribosomal RNA is filed under the name uncultured bacterium. RNAcentral's name for it is "partial 16S ribosomal RNA". It matches the Rfam family "Bacterial small subunit ribosomal RNA", at positions 29 to 507 of the family's 1533-position model. The record is from RNAcentral.